Molecule: ribosomal RNA, 719 nt
Filed under: bacterium S1cc67
Lineage: Bacteria
Description: bacterial SSU rRNA
Rfam family: Bacterial small subunit ribosomal RNA
Source: RNAcentral
GCAGGCCUAACACAUGCAAGUCGAGCGGAAACGAGUUAUCUGAACCUUCGGGGGACGAUAACGGCGUCGAGCGGCGGACGGGUGAGUAAUGCCUAGGAAAUUGCCCUGAUGUGGGGGAUAACCAUUGGAAACGAUGGCUAAUACCGCAUAAUGCCUACGGGCCAAAGAGGGGGACCUUCGGGCCUCUCGCGUCAGGAUAUGCCUAGGUGGGAUUAGCUAGUUGGUGAGGUAAUGGCUCACCAAGGCGACGAUCCCUAGCUGGUCUGAGAGGAUGAUCAGCCACACUGGAACUGAGACACGGUCCAGACUCCUACGGGAGGCAGCAGUGGGGAAUAUUGCACAAUGGGCGCAAGCCUGAUGCAGCCAUGCCGCGUGUGUGAAGAAGGCCUUCGGGUUGUAAAGCACUUUCAGUCGUGAGGAAGGUAGUGUAGUUAAUAGCUGCAUUAUUUGACGUUAGCGACAGAAGAAGCACCGGCUAACUCCGUGCCAGCAGCCGCGGUAAUACGGAGGGUGCGAGCGUUAAUCGGAAUUACUGGGCGUAAAGCGCAUGCAGGUGGUUUGUUAAGUCAGAUGUGAAAGCCCGGGGCUCAACCUCGGAAUUGCAUUUGAAACUGGCAGACUAGAGUACUGUAGAGGGGGGUAGAAUUUCAGGUGUAGCGGUGAAAUGCGUAGAGAUCUGAAGGAAUACCGGUGGCGAAGGCGGCCCCCUGGACAGAUAC